AUGGGCAAAUCCAAAGGUGCGGAAAUUUCCCCCUUCUGCAGGCACACUGUUGCUUCUCGAUUGAAUUUGUUCGAAUUUGGGAGGCGAAAGUCAAUAAUUUGCUGCUUUGUAGACAAGAAGGCUUCGCGGGAUUCCAAGGUUGAUAAGAAGCUGGCGCUUGGGCUUGGAGUGAAGAGGAAGCAGCUCAAGAAGAAGAAGGACAGAGUUUUAGAUGCCGCCGUGGAGAGCGAGGGCGCUGCCGGACAUGCUAUCGCGGAAGGAAGCAAGAAGAUUGUAUUGGUGAAGCAAAAGAAGAAAAUUAAGCAUGCCAAAGUAACAAGCUGUUGUACCAAGGCUCAUAAUUUGGUGACUCUCAAUGAGGAUGAGGGAACACCUAAACUCAAGAAGAAGAAGAGCAAGAAGCAGCUAAAGGAAAGCAAAAGUCCUGUUGAGGUACAGAGUCCAUUGGACAGUAAUGAUGCUGGAACACUUAAGCUGAAGAAGAAGAAAAGGAAGGUGAAGGAAGGGAAGAGCUCUGUUGAGCCCAAUGAUGCAGAUGAUAUCCUUCAUGAAAAUCUCGAUGAAGAAACUCUAAACGCUGAUGUCAACCAACUUCUAGCAGAGAGUGAAGUUAUGGAUAUUGGGGAACCAGAAAAGGCAAAGAAACGAAAGAAAAAAAAGACAGCUGAUGUCAACCAAGUUGCAGCAGAGAGUGGAGUUAUGGACAUUGGGGAACCAGAAAAGGCAAAGAAACGAAAGAAAAAUAAGACAAAGAAAGUAAAGCAAUCUGGGGAAGUCAACGGGAUAGAUCUGCAGGUAUCAGUUAGAGAGGACAAUUUGGAGGUGCAUGAAGUUGAUACCGCAAAUGUUGAUGAGAUUGCAUCAGUCGAUGAAGACUGUUCCAGAGGAAUGAAAAAAUGGAUCUUGGAGUACAGACAGAAGCGACCAGGCUUGAAAGUCUUGCAGCAAAAUAUAGAUGUGUUUAUAACUGCACAUGAGGAACAACAAGAGCGGGAGAAGAAGGAAAGAGAGGCAGCAGCUGCAGAAGAUGGGUGGACAGUGGUGAUGCAUCAUAAGGGUCGGAAGAAGACUACAGAUGCUGAAACUGGAACAGCGGUUGGCUCUGUAUCUCUGGCUGCAAUGCAAGAGAAAAUGGCUCAGAAGAAACCCAAGGAAGUUGGUCGGAACUUCUACAGACAUCAGAAACGAGAAGCUCAAAUGAGUGAGCUGGCGAUGCUGCAGAGCAAGUUCGAGCAGGACAAGAAGAGGAUACAGCAGCUGCGGGCUCAAAGGAAAUUCAAGCCUUACGGAUUUUGA
This 1296-nucleotide ribosomal RNA is filed under the name Triticum aestivum (bread wheat). RNAcentral's name for it is "partial small subunit ribosomal RNA". The record is from RNAcentral. Lineage: Eukaryota; Viridiplantae; Streptophyta; Magnoliopsida; Poales; Poaceae.